Molecule: non-coding RNA, 75 nt
Organism: Potamilus streckersoni
Lineage: Eukaryota; Metazoa; Mollusca; Bivalvia; Unionida; Unionidae
Source: the annotation of a GenBank genome assembly
UGCUCUGGUGUCCCAGUGGUUAGAGUCUCCGCCUCAGGUGCGGAAGUUCGUGGGUUCGAUCCUCGGUCCAGUCAU